Molecule: long non-coding RNA, 880 nt
Organism: Phacochoerus africanus (Common warthog)
Lineage: Eukaryota; Metazoa; Chordata; Mammalia; Artiodactyla; Suidae
Exons: 2
Source: RefSeq, a predicted model, not a curated record
GAUGAAGGUGCGAGCGGAAAGGCGCUAAGGGCUGGAGAGCCAGCCUCCUAGGGAAGGAUCAGAGGCUUGCGAUUGACUGGCCCCCUUGGAGAAGAGAAAGAUAAGGAGCUUUCUGGGGCACCUGCUCCAAGGAAAGGACAUUGUUCUUUUAAAACAUGCGUUUGCGUUUGAAGCAUGCGUUUCAAACAAGAAGGAGAAAACGUGAACUUUAGCAGGGGACCUGCAAGUUAGGUCUACCAAGUUAGACUCACAAGCACUUCCCAAGGUUCAGGAAACUGAGAGCUACAAGGUGGAGAUGAGACGACCUCCUGGCCCCGGGCCUGACAUGGCCAAGCCCCACGUCCGGGUGAGUGGUCCCAGUGAAAAGCAACGAUCGUUGGGGUGGCUUGGAAAGAGCUUCUCCAAAACCAGAUACCUGCUUCGAAGGCUCCUUCCAGAAACACUCAGGAACCAAGGCCCGGGCAGGAAGUGCCUCGCGCUCCUCUUCAUCCCUGUGGACGAGGUCUUUAAAGACCCCCGGAACCUUCCUGCCGGGAUCAGGAGGGUUUGCACCAGAUUGUAGGUACUAUUCUGAGCCAGGUCCUUGGAGCUGUUUGGCAAGUGCUGAAGCCCCCACCGGGUGGAAGAAGUCAAGUGCAUGCUGACCACAGGCUCAUAGACCCCAGACUGGUUGGAAUCUGAAGGUUGAUGACGCUGACACCCAAUGACCUCUUCACCCACCAAUCAGGAAAAUGCGCAUGAGCUGACCACGCCCGGCUCUUCAAACACUAGAAGACUCCUCCCUCCCCCCUCCAAGGGGUGGGGGGCACAUUCCUCUAGGCACUAGCCUGCUGUUCCCCUCUUUGCCUGGCAGUUAAAGCUACUUUUUGUGUUUCCCCCA